RNAcentral lists this ribosomal RNA (282 nucleotides) under Ranitomeya fantastica (red-headed poison frog). RNAcentral describes it as "partial 12S ribosomal RNA". It matches the Rfam family "Bacterial small subunit ribosomal RNA", at positions 872 to 1300 of the family's 1533-position model. Lineage: Eukaryota; Metazoa; Chordata; Amphibia; Anura; Dendrobatidae. The record is from RNAcentral.
CCCGGGAACUACGAGCCAAGCUUAAAACCCAAAGGACUUGACGGUACCCCAUAUCCCCCUAGAGGAGCCUGUCCUAUAAUCGAUAACCCCCGUUUAACCUCACCAUUUCUAGCAACUCAGCCUGUAUACCUCCGUCGUCAGCUUACCACGUGAGCGCUAGUGAGCUCAAUGUUUUUUCAACUAAACGUCAGGUCAAGGUGCAACACAUGAAGUGGGAAGAGAUGGGCUACACUUUCUAUAAUAGAUCACACGGAAGACUAACUAUGAAAUCUAGUCAGAAGG